GACGUAGGGGACGAGCGUUGUCCGGAUUCAUUGGGCGUAAAGCGCGCGUAGGCGGUUUGGUAAGUCGGAUGUGAAACCAGAGGCUCAACCUCCUGGCCUGCAUCCGAUACUGCCCGACUAGAGGUAGGUAGGGGAGAUCGGAAUUCCUGGUGUAGCGGUGAAAUGCGCAGAUAUCAGGAGGAACACCGGUGGCGAAGGCGGAUCUCUGGGCCUUACCUGACGCUGAGGCGCGAAAGCUAGGGGAGCAAACAGG
RNAcentral lists this ribosomal RNA (253 nucleotides) under uncultured bacterium. RNAcentral describes it as "partial 16S ribosomal RNA". It matches the Rfam family "Bacterial small subunit ribosomal RNA", at positions 524 to 776 of the family's 1533-position model. The record is from RNAcentral.